Hyaena hyaena (striped hyena) is the source of this 575-nucleotide long non-coding RNA. RefSeq lists it as uncharacterized. The transcript has 3 exons. The record is from RefSeq and is a predicted model, not a curated record. Lineage: Eukaryota; Metazoa; Chordata; Mammalia; Carnivora; Hyaenidae.
UCAGCUUCAGGGAUAUUGGCUGACAACCUAAGAUGACCGUUUCCUUCCAAUUAUUCAUAAUUUCUAAGAAUUUAAUAAUUAAUACUUUAACAGAGAGAUUGUCUGUUGGGAUGAAAGAAAAGCACCCCAUGUUGCUUGAUUAGAACUAACAGAUGUUGGUGAUUGGAGCUGAGAUUAAUGAAAGUAACUAAAUGAAGACUUGAAAUCUGCAAGAUGGAUGUCACCACUAUGUGUAAUGACAGAUGCAGAGAUUGGAGUGAUAAGUUACAAACUAAGAAAUGCCAGGAAUCUAUGACUACCGCAGAAAGCCAGGAAGAUGCAAGGAGUGAGAGUUUUAUAAUGAGCACAGAUCUGCUGACACCUUAAAUUUAAAUUUAAGAACUAUGAGAAUAAAUGUCUACUGUUUUAUGUGAACAGCUAGUUACAGUAGCCCUAGAGGCAUAUAUGUAGUCUAUACAUCCAAACAAAACCAGAUAAAUGUAUCAUACAAAUAUUUGUAUUUUGGAAAGUAUAUGUAUCAUGAUGUGCUUGUUUAAAGAAAGAUUUCUUGGGGCACCUGGGUCGCUCAGUCGGGU